RNAcentral lists this ribosomal RNA (206 nucleotides) under uncultured bacterium. Its description in RNAcentral is "partial 16S ribosomal RNA". It matches the Rfam family "Bacterial small subunit ribosomal RNA", at positions 568 to 774 of the family's 1533-position model. The record is from RNAcentral.
CACGCAGGCGGUUAGAUAAGUCAGAUGUGAAAUCCCCGGGCUCAACCUGGGAACUGCAUUUGAAACUGUCUGACUAGAGUCUUGUAGAGGGGGUAGAAUUCCAGGUGUAGCGGUGAAAUGCGUAGAGAUCUGGAGGAAUACCGGUGGCGAAGGCGGCCCCCUGGACAAAGACUGACGCUCAGGUGCGAAAGCGUGGGAAGCAAACA